UACGUAGGGUGCAAGCGUUAAUCGGAAUUAUUGGGCGUAAAGGGUAGGUAGGUGGUCUCAUUUGUCAGGGGUGAAAGCCUUGGGCUUAACCCAAGAAGUGCCUCUGAAACGGUGAGACUGGAGUCCUGGAGAGGGUCGUGGAAUUCCCGGUGUAGCGGUGAAAUGCGUAGAGAUCGGGAGGAACACCAGAGGCGAAGGCGGCGACCUGGACAGGUACUGACACUCAACUACGAAAGCGUGGGGAUCAAACAGG
RNAcentral lists this ribosomal RNA (253 nucleotides) under uncultured bacterium. Its description in RNAcentral is "partial 16S ribosomal RNA". It matches the Rfam family "Bacterial small subunit ribosomal RNA", at positions 524 to 776 of the family's 1533-position model. The record is from RNAcentral.